UCGCGUCAGGUGUGAAAGUCCAUCGCCUAACGGUGGAUCUGCGCCGGGUACGGGCUGGAGUGCGGUAGGGGAGACUGGAAUUCCCGGUGUAACGGUGGAAUGUGUAGAUAUCGGGAAGAACACCAAUGGCGAAGGCAGGUCUCUGGGCCGUUACUGACGCUGAGGAGCGAAAGCGUGGGGAGCGAACAGGAUUAGAUACCCUGGUAGUCCACGCCGUAAACGGUGGAUGCU
This 231-nucleotide ribosomal RNA is filed under the name Bifidobacterium sp. DMBCT1. RNAcentral describes it as "partial 16S ribosomal RNA". It matches the Rfam family "Bacterial small subunit ribosomal RNA", at positions 583 to 817 of the family's 1533-position model. The record is from RNAcentral. Lineage: Bacteria; Bacillati; Actinomycetota; Actinomycetes; Bifidobacteriales; Bifidobacteriaceae.